GGGGACGUUUUGGAUUUGACAGGAUGUUCGGUGAAAACAGGUUGCGAGUCCGUGCGCUGUUCACGGUUAUCAACGAGCAAAAACCUAAAUGCUAAAAAUGAAACUAGCAACAUCGUAAGACCUGAAAUCGCUCUUUGGGGCACUGCUCCAGCUGCGAAAGUAGCGUAACGAUGCACUCUGAUUGCCCAGCUUGCCGGCGGUCAGGGUCAAUUAUGCAAGCCGCAGCGCGCCGAUGAGGGUAAGCGCGUCAAGAUAACCCUUAAAGGUUUCGCACUUCCGGCAAAAGUGCUUUGAUUAAGCCAACGGUCGUGGUAUUUUCCGGGCUUAAUCGAGAAAAUAACUACCUACACUCGUAGAGAUUUGUUUUAAUCCUUUCUGGACGCGGGUUCGAAACCCGCCGUCUCCAAUA
This 409-nucleotide transfer-messenger RNA is filed under the name Heliobacteriaceae bacterium. It matches the Rfam family "transfer-messenger RNA". Rfam says of the family: Bacterial tmRNA, also known as 10Sa RNA or SsrA, is named for its dual tRNA and mRNA-like properties. Its role is to liberate the mRNA from a stalled ribosome. To accomplish this part of the tmRNA is used as a reading frame that ends in a translation stop signal. Lineage: Bacteria; Bacillati; Bacillota; Clostridia; Eubacteriales; Heliobacteriaceae. The record is from RNAcentral.